AAUGAACGCUGGCGGCAUGCUUUACACAUGCAAGUCGAACGAGAACGGACUUUAGCACGGUUAAUUUUUAAUUAUUAAAGUUAAGCGUGCUAAAGUUGUCAGCUAAGUGGCGCACGGGUGAGUAAUGUAUAGCUAAUCUGCCCUUUAGAAGGGGAUAACCACGGGAAACUGUGGCUAAUACCCUAUACUCCAUUAUAUCACAAGGUAUAAUGGGAAAUGUUUUUUCGCUAAAGGAUGAGGCUAUAUCCUAUCAGUUUGUUGGUGAGGUAAAAGCUUACCAAGACUAUGACGGGUAGCUGGUCUGAGAGGAUGAUCAGCCACACUGGAACUGAGACACGGUCCAGACUCCUACGGGAGGCAGCAGUGGGGAAUAUUGCACAAUGGGCGAAAGCCUGAUGCAGCAAUGCCGCGUGGAGGAUGACGCAUCUAGGUGUGUAAACUCCUUUUAUAUGAGAAGAUAAUGACGGUAUCAUAUGAAUAAGCACCGGCUAACUCCGUGCCAGCCGCCGCCGUAACAC
RNAcentral lists this ribosomal RNA (518 nucleotides) under uncultured bacterium. Its description in RNAcentral is "bacterial SSU rRNA". It matches the Rfam family "Bacterial small subunit ribosomal RNA", at positions 29 to 526 of the family's 1533-position model. The record is from RNAcentral.